Non-coding RNA from Poecilia reticulata (guppy), 221 nucleotides. Lineage: Eukaryota; Metazoa; Chordata; Actinopteri; Cyprinodontiformes; Poeciliidae. The record is from RefSeq and is a predicted model, not a curated record.
GUCGUUGUUCCCUUGGAAACCAAAAGCAACAGCCAGAUUGAUCAGCAUAUCAAUCAGACGUACUGAACAUCUGUAGCUGCUGAACGAGCUGGAUCACAAAUGGAGGACAUUCAGAUGGACGAUGAGACUCCUGUGAGCGUCUCAGUGACGUCUUCACCAGUGAAUUAUAGUGGCAUCAACAGGAACGAAAUUAAUGACGACUCUAUGAGCAGAGCUGAUGA